UACGUAGGGGGCUAGCGUUGUCCGGAUUUAUUGGGCGUAAAGAGCGUGUAGGCGGCCAUGUAGGUCCGGUGUGAAAACUCGAGGCUUAACCUCGAGAUGUCAUCGGAAACCAUUUGGCUAGAGUCCGGAAGAGGCGAGUGGAAUUCCCGGUGUAGCGGUGAAAUGCGCAGAUAUCGGGAGGAACACCAAUGGCGAAGGCAGCUCGCUGGGACGGUACUGACGCUGAGACGCGAAAGCGUGGGGAGCAAACAGG
This 253-nucleotide ribosomal RNA is filed under the name uncultured bacterium. RNAcentral describes it as "partial 16S ribosomal RNA". It matches the Rfam family "Bacterial small subunit ribosomal RNA", at positions 524 to 776 of the family's 1533-position model. The record is from RNAcentral.